UCCUCUUCCUGCUACACAUAGUAUUAGCCUACGUAAGGUCAUUACGGCGCCGUUUCCCUUUUUAAUUGGCGUAGUUCAACUCAUCAUCCACCCAAGUUCAUUUCGUUCAAAGCUAUAAAUAACCCCUCAAACCAUUCAACUUUCCCACCACCACUCCUCACUCCUUCAACUCAUUAACCUCUCUCUCUCUCUCUCCUUCAACUCAUUAACCUCUCUCUCUCUCUCUCUCUCUCUCAUUUUCAUCCGCAAAUGGCGAACCGUAGAAGCCUCUUUUCUCUCUCACUUAUCUUUGUGUUCAUGAUCAACUCAGCCAUAGCCACUCCAGUCACAUACAAUGUGGCCAGUUUAGGAGCCAAAGCAGAUGGCAAGACUGACUCCACAAAAGCCUUCCUCUUUGCAUGGGCUAAAGCUUGUGCCUCGAUGAAUCCCGGUGUCAUUUAUGUGCCGGCAGGAACGUUCUUUCUUCGCGAUGUGGUGUUCAGUGGGCCUUGCAAGAACAAUGCCAUCACCUUCCGCAUUGCCGGAACCCUUGUGGCCCCGUCGGAUUACCGGGUCAUCGGUAAUGCAGCUAACUGGAUUUUCUUUCACCAUGUAAACGGGGUUACCAUAUCAGGUGGAAUUCUUGACGGCCAAGGCACGGCCUUGUGGGCUUGCAAGGCCUCUCAUGGCGAGAGUUGUCCCAGCGGAGCAACGGUAAUUAAUUCACUACUUUAAAUAUCAUAUUCAUGACACCAUUAAAUAUCAAAUUCAUGACACCAUUAUUUUGUGCUUCAUUAUUAGUGAGAAUUUUAAAGGUCAACGUACGUACAAUUUGCUUUAUUAUUUGCUACCAAUUGAAUUGAGGGUUUAUAAAAUAAGUUUAAACUCUACAGAACGUAAUCAAAUGGACAUGAUAAAUUGUACCACAAGCUUAGCUUGAUCAAGUAAUUUCGUGUAUAUAUGUGCAGACUUUGGGUUUUUCCGACUCAAACAACAUCGUGGUGAGUGGAUUGGCAUCCCUAAACAGCCAAAUGUUCCACAUAGUCAUCAACGACUGCCAAAAUGUGCAAAUGCAAGGUGUCAGGGUUUCUGCUUCCGGGAACAGCCCUAACACCGAUGGCAUUCAUGUCCAAAUGUCAUCUGGUGUCACAAUCCUCAACUCCAAGAUUGCAACCGGUGACGAUUGUGUCUCAAUUGGCCCCGGAACCUCAAAUUUGUGGAUAGAAGGCGUUGCUUGUGGACCUGGCCAUGGAAUUAGGUACGACAUCAAAAUUAUAUAUUUAUCCAUGAUUGAUCAAACUAGCUAAAUGCAUACUAUUUCAUAAUAUAUGUUAUAAUGUAUAUCUUUUUUCUUCGUUGCUUAAUGACAUUUGAACUUAGGACAUCUUUCAAUAAAGUGGAGAUUAAUUGGUUGCUAGUAGAGAUUCAUUGCCUACAAAAAGUAUAUCUUUCUUUUGGGUGGAUGUUCUAGUUGUAAAUUUAACAUUGCUUUAUUUGAUGGUUCAGCAUUGGAAGUCUAGGCAAGGAGCAAGAAGAGGCCGGUGUACAAAAUGUAACAGUUAAAACGGUUACCUUUACUGGUACUCAGAAUGGUCUAAGAAUCAAGUCAUGGGGGAGGCCAAGCACUGGGUUUGCUAGAAAUAUUCUUUUCCAACAUGCUACAAUGGUCAAUGUCGAAAAUCCUAUUGUCAUAGAUCAACAUUAUUGCCCCGACAACAAAGGGUGCCCUGGUCAGGUAAGAUAUCAUUCUUGCUCUAACGGUCAAUUCCCAGAGUUUAAUAUUACAACUAAAUUUUCUCUUCUUCACUUUCAUAGUGUAACGUUUUUGAUAAAAACGUUGGCAUCGCCAAAUUAUAACUGUCUAAUUUCGAAACAUAUCAAAAGCUUUCUUGGGCUUCCACCUAGAAGAGCCAAUAAUUUUAGACCCAAAGCAAAUCCAAUAACUCCUUCUUCCAUGGGCUUGCUCUCCUACUACUUACAAAGGUCGAGCCUUGCCCAUUGUAACCUUUGUAACUUAUUAAUUUCAUUGUAUGUGCAAUGAGAUUGAGGGUUGUAGCUUAAGUGGUUAACAAUAUUUACUCAUGUAUUCGAAGUUCUAGAUUUAAUUCCCCUCUUUUCCAAUACCAUUUUUAUCAAAAUGACUUCAUCGUAGCUUAGCCAAAAAAGCAUUAAACUUCCCAUUAAGCCGAAUUACCAUGCUAUAAUGCUUGUUCACCUUCUGUUUUAUCAAAAGCUGGAAAUCUGACUUCCUAUUGUUUUUUUUCUUUUGUCAAUUUUGUUUUUCGAUAGGUUUCCGGAGUUCAAAUUAGCGAUGUGACAUACGAAGACAUACACGGUACAUCAGCAACAGAAGUUGCAGUAAAAUUUGAUUGCAGUCCCAAGCACCCUUGCAGCGAGAUCAAAUUGGAGGAUGUGAAGCUUACUUACAAGAACCAAGCAGCUGAGUCUUCAUGUAGCCAUGCAGAUGGAACAACUGAGGGUGUGGUUCAGCCUACAAGUUGUUUGUAGAGUGGAAAAAUAUGAACUGCUUGUAGAAGUAUUGAAAUCCAAAAGUUUGCCCUCCAGUACUAAGGACAAAUGAAAAGUGAAUUAUACGAUUUAUAUAGGAAGAAUGAGCUUGUGUUGUUGGCAGCCUACUUGGGCUUCCCUUGAGCCUGGCCGUUCAAUUAGUUUAGUUUGUUCAAACUCGUCCACUUCGAUGGGUGUUUAUGUUAUGAAUUGUUGUAAGAUUAUGUUCGGGAUACGUUAAAUUUAUAAGAUUAAAUUUUAUGUUGAUGGCUAAUGUGGCAUUUGACAUAGGAUUCAAUAUUCUAUCAAUUUAAUUCACAAUUUUAUUAUAAUCGAAGCACACAUUAAAUAGUAAAAAUUUGGUUCAAGAAACAAAAGGAUUUGAAGUCUCGCAUGAACUUUUUGGUUGGAGCAUUUUCUCAUGUCAAAUUUUACCCGUUAAAAAUUUAUUAUGAUAUUUUAACAUUUCGGUUGGAGUAUUUUUUUCAUGUCAAAUUUGACCCGUUAAAAAUUUACUAUGGUAUUUUAGCAUUUCGGUUGGAGAUGUAUAAAUCUUAAAAAUGCAUUCAAGAUGCAUUUUUGUUUCUUAAGCUUUGAGCUUUAGGUAAUUAACUUUAAAUGUUGUUGGGCACCUUGCACUAGUUGAUUAAAGAAAAAUAGACCCGAAGCAAGAUUCCUUGUAGUUGCCAAUUCGAAGUUUUCUUUAUCGCUACAUACUUACUGGUCUACAAGUUCUCUCUCUAAUACAUAAUUUGACAUAAAUAAAUACAGUGAAGAGUGCAUUGACUAAACAGAAAAAAAAACAAAAAAAGCAGCACGUAAGCAAUUACGUGCAUUUGGUGUAAAAGCUAAAGGCCUCUGAUUUAUGUAAGCAGUUACGGUAAUCAUAUUAUAUUAUAUGUAUCUUAGUUCUGCAAUUGUAACAGGAAUAAUAUUGUUUUGUUAUCCCCAAUCAAUAAUACAAUGAUACGUGAAAAAGUUAUUUAACAUGUCAUUGCGUUAUUAGCUGGGGAUAGCAAACAGUGCUAUCCCCAUUACAUGAAAGUCUUUCUCCUGCAUAUCCUAUUAUACUAUUAUAAAACUCAAUUGGUCAAUCAUAGUGAAAAAAAUAUAGUGAAAGAAAAAAGAAGAAGAAGAAAAUAUCAAUUAAGCCCCUCUUAUAUUGAACACUUCAAUAAUAAAAUAAAAAUUGCAUAUGGAGUAAAGUCAGUCAGUUAAGAUAGUAUGCUAGUUCUUUUGCACCUGAGUUCAAUUUCCUUCCCCGAACAUUUUCAAAUAAAUAAUAAUAAAAUAAAAUGUGAAUUUGAUAGUCAAUGUCGUAGUAAAAUAUGGUUUUUUAGUAUCAAUAUUAAGGAAAGCCAUUGUUCUUUCUAGCAGAAUGCCCGCCACUGCUAGAGAGAGAGAGAGAGAGAGAGCGGAAUGGCAGAAGUGAGUAACAAGCAGGUGAUACCGAGGGAGUAUGUCACUGGCUUUCCCAAAGAGUCAGACUUGUACGUGAAUAGCACUGCUACUAUCAAGUUGAAGCUUUCUGAGGCCCCCGAGCAUGAGGGUUCUUCAAAGAAACUAGUUCUAGUGAAGAAUCUUUACUUGUCCUGCGAUCCCUACCAACGACUAUUUAUGGAAAGAAUCGAAGGCCUCAGCAGCCAAUCCACUUCCUCCUAUACGCCUGGUUCUGUAAGCAAAACCCAUCAUAUAUCUUUUCCUUUCAAUUUCUGUAAACAUAUAUACCAAAUGUUAUGCUCAAAUAUAUAUUAAUUGUUAAACAUUGUUCCCUUAAAAAAAACAAUUUAUUGCAAAAUUGGAAUAUACAAGAGGUAACUCUGCACAAAUAUUAAUGACAAGAUGAGGUGGCUAAAAGCACUGUUAAUGUCUAUCAGCGCGCAAUGAGCACGAAUAACUGUGAUUAUUAAGUAGUAGGAGCUGAUAGUUGUUUUUGUUACCACAUCCUAUGCCACAAAUAUUAAUUAUUACCAAUUAUUCUUCUAGUAAUGCUUGUUUUUUUGUUGAUGGCAACAUUGGGAGGAGGGAAUCAAAUACAAGUUUGAUCAUAUGAUUAAUUUAAUUUUGUUGGUGUAAACGUGCAGCCAAUAUACGGGUAUGGAGUGGCUAAAGUUUUGGACUCUGGGCACCCAGAUUUGAAGGCAGGUGACUUAGUUUGGGGGACUACCUAUUGGGAAGAGUACAGCCGAAUCCCUGAACCCGAAGGCCUGAUCAAAAUCCAGCACACUGAUGUACCUCUAUCCUAUUAUACUGGAAUUCUUGGUAACAAGUCAAACCUAUUUUAGAUCAUGAUGAUAUGUGUUGGUUUAGAUACGUAAGUGUAUUUUUUGUAAUUUCAUUUCAGGUAUGCCUGGUUUGACCGCUUAUGUUGGUUUCUAUGAAAUUUGUUCUCCUAAGAAAGGAGAACAUGUCUUCAUUUCAGCAGCAGCUGGUGCUGUUGGUCAGCUUGUUGGACAAUUUGCAAAAUUAAUGGGUUGUUAUGUUGUUGGAAGUGCUGGCAGUAAGGAAAAGGUACGAACUUGAGAAAUCUUUGAACUUCAAAUUAAUAUUAUCUACACCAUUUUUUCUUGUUUGGGUUGUAUUUUGCUGUUGUUAUUUGGGCCAACUUUGGUGUUGGUUUGGUUUGGGGCCUCUGUUUGUGCGCUGGGACUACAAUGAGUGGAAAGUUAUAAGGGGUAAGUUAUAAGGGGUUCACUUUAUAGCCAUCAGAUCAAUCCAAGGGCUGGGGAGAAUUGAGAUAAAGUUUCACAAUUGGGUAGGUGAGGAACCCAAACCCGAAUUGAAUAUCCAGCACGUCCAAAAAGAAGAAGAAGAGGGAAACACGUUCGAAAAAGAAGAAGAAGAGGCAAGUUCGAAGUUUGAACAGAAAGAACUCAUCUCUCUAAAACCCAGAGGUCUGAGAUACCCAAUGAAGGCAACGGCUAACGACAGUUGAAGGCAACGAUUCGCCACUCCGUUCUCCAGACCCUGAAAAAGUAUUUAUUUGGAGUAGAAGGGGCAAAGGUGUGGAUUCCAAAUCAAUGAAGGGGCGAAGCAGUGGAAGGGGAAGGGGAGAAGCUAUAAUCGUUGGAAGUGGUAGGUUCCAUUUGUGGAGCAAAGAAACAGAAAGACCCCACACAGACACCUUGCAAUAACCAGCAUUUGGUGAGUAAUUUAUGGAAUUUGAGUUUAGGGUUAGAGUAAUGGUUUUCCUCAAUUUGUAGCAUAAAUUUUGUUGGAUUUGGCAUCUCUUCGUUGUGCUUGAGUUGCAUGUUAAUUUUUGCUUAGGUAUAUGUUAAAAAAAGAAUGAAAAUCAAGUCAAUAACAAGUGAAUAACAUGUCAAUAAUGAUAUGAAUAAGAUAAUGGUGUUGAAUUGGAGGAGGCCCUCAAAACCUUCCACAUUUGAAGCAGUGCAUAGUGCAGAUUAAGAAGAGGCGGUAGAAUAUAUAUAUAUAUAUAUAUAUAUAUAUUUUAUGAAGUAAAUAUGAUUUCCUUUGUUACUAAAUUUGCCUGAGAAACAUUUGAACAGAUAAUAAUAAACUCAUGAAUAGAAGUGCAAAGCAUUUGAUGAGUAAUUUAAGGAAUUUGAGUUUAGGGUUAGAGUAAUGGUUUUCCCCAAUUUGUACCAUCAAUGUUGUUGGAUUUGGCAUCUCUUAUUUGUGCUUCAAUUGCAUGUUAAUUUUUGCUUGGGUAUAUGUUAAAAAACGAAUGAAAAUAGAGUCAAUCACAUGUCAAUAACAUCUCAAUAACAUGUCAAUAACAUGUUAGUAAUGAUAUGAAUAAGAUAAUGGUGUUAAAUUGGAGGAGGCGCUCAAAACCUUCCACAUUUGAAGCAGUGCAGAGUGAAGAGUACCUCUCUGGCCCUAGAAUUUAUAUAUUUUGUGAAAUAAAUAUGAUUUCAUUUGUUACUAAAUUUGCCUAUGAGAAAUGAGAACAGAUAAUAAUAAACUCAUGAAUAAAAGUGCAAAGCAUUUGAAAUGAAGGUUGAUCUAUGACGAUUGUGGGUGACUGAAGAAAAAGCUAGAAAGAAAGAAGGAUGUGGCAAUUGCUUAGCAAGCAGAUAGCAGAGUAGAUGCUUUGCUUUGCUUCCUUCCACUAUAUUUCUUAUUUAUUUAUUUUGUGUUGUGUAUGAGAUGACAAUAAUUGUCAUGUGUGUGAAGUGCAGAACUUGCCUACAUUGCACUCACACGAGUAUGGAUCCAUAAAUAAAACACGUGAAAUUGUUUGUAAUUCACAUAAUCAUUGCAUUAACAGGUAUUUGCACAAAAUUUGUCAUAUUGCUUUGAUGAUGUUAAAGCCUAUGAUCAGUAAUCCGUAUGCUCAUGUACUUUGUAAAAUUUGUAAUGUGCCUGGUUGACUAGUUGUGAUUGUGCAAAUACGUGGCAGUAUAUGUGUUCACGUUAUUUCACAUUGUAUUUGAGGAAAUGGGAUCCAACGUGGAGCUGGUAUGGCCAGAGGCAGAGGCAUAUUCGUCACGGGUGAACAACUGCUCACAUGCAAAUUCAUCUCUAGCUGCAAUUCGAGCGAAGUUGAGUGCGGAACAAUUAGAACAAUUCAAGACAUCAUGCUUUGGCCAUCUUCUGAAUAUAGAUAAGAUUCAGUUUAGCGGGCAGAUUGUGCAUGGGGCUGUGUUGCGUAGAGUAGCGGGGCAGGGUGUGAAAGACUUGGAUGGACUGAGUUUCUUAUUAGGGUGUGACGUUGCUCAGUUCACUCGUCAGGAUUUCUGUUUGAUCACAGGGCUUCGUUUUGGGGAAGUGCCUGAAGUUUCCAGUGGAGAGAGUGAUGUAAUCAGACUUCAGAAAAGAUAUUUUAUAGACGAAGGAAUUACAUGCAAUGCUUUAGAAGAAGCAUUUAUGGGGUGCACAGAGGAAGAUGACAUCUACAAGCUAGCUCUUGUUUACUUUGCUGAGUUAGUGGUUUUGGGAAGGGACAAACAUUUGAACAUCAAUCUAAAUUACCUGACCCUUGUAGAGGACUUGGAUGCGUUCAACAGGUAUCCGUGGGGUUCGGUGUCCUUUGACAAAACCCAAGACAGUCUAUUUUCUGCACCAACAAAGUAUGUGAAAAGCUUGCAAAAUGAAGAGGGAAGAGGGAAGGGGAAAAGUAAGGUAACGGGAACAAGCCGGAGAAAUGAGAAGGGCAGGAAGGAUAAGCAUGGUGAAGCGCAAAGGAGUGGCUGGAGUUUUAAAGGUUUCACGUAUGCUUUCCAGGUACAUGGUAAUAAUGUUCAUGUGAGUUAUGUUUUGUUUUUCUUUAAAACAUAAAUAAUGACUUUUGUCCUGUGAAUUGUGUAGAUUUGGGUAUAUGAAUUAAUUCCUAGAAUGGCGGACCUGAAUUACUGCAAGGUUGUUGAUCCGACCGCUGUCCCGCGUAUUUUGCGAUGGAGAACUACUACGUCUGUUCCAGAGAUGAGAAAGUUGAACAAUUAUUUUUUCCAGAGCAAAGAGGUUUGGUUUGCAGCCCUUGGAACUAUUGAUAAGAUUGAAUGAAAUUUUGAAGUAGAAUGAUUUAAUAUGACUGUGGUUUGUAUUCUGAAACAGUCAGUUCAGUUGCGGGCGCUAUGUCCGAGUGAAGAGGAAAUGAGACAGCCAUAUUGGAGUUGGCCACAGGAUCGCCCUGAUGAGACAGCCAUAUUGGAGUUGGCCACAGGAUCGCCCUGCUGUUGUCUCGGCAGAGUCAAUUCCUUCUUUAUGUGGUGAUCUUGAUCAGUUGAACAAGGUGGUAAGCUUGUUGAGGUCCGAGUUGUUUCAAGUAAAGCGGGAAAAAGACGUCCUUCACUUAAAGGUCAUACGGAUGGAAAAACUGUUGGACCAAUGUUUAGGUCCUCAGUUUGAGCAGGAAGUAAGGAGGGACCUAGCUUUACUGAAACAGAGGACGAAGCGUUGUGUCGUCUCACAUCUAUUUAGGGGAUAUCGGGAAUUGGAUGACAUUCAAUGGGAUGAAGGGCCAAGUAACAGAAAUGAGGGAGAGGAAAAGGAAGAUGAAGGGAUUGAAGGGGGUGAAGGGCCAAGUAAUAGAAAUGAGGGAGAGGAAAAGGAAGAGGAGGGGAUUGAAGGAGAGGAAAAGGAAGAGGAGGGGAUUGAAGGGGGUGAAGUGCAAGGAAUACCAAGUGAGGUAGAGGAAGGGCAAAGGAAAAGAAGUGAAGGAGAGCAAGUGCAAGUAAAAAGUAGCAAAGGAGAGGAAGCCCAAAGACAGAGCAGUGAGGGAGAGGAAGUGAAAAGAAAAAGCAGUAAGGGAGAGAAACUGCAAAGGAAAAAAAGGGAGGGCAAGGAAGUGAAAACACAAAGAAGUGAGGAAAAGGAAGUGCAAAGAAACCAAUGUGAGAAAGAAGAUAAUGAAGUUAUGUUGCUUGGGGAUGACAUUGGCGAGAGCACGGAGGGGACACUGCUUGAGUUUACUGUCGGGGACAUUGAUUUGGAUCAACCUACAGCUGUGCUAUCUCAGUUGAACGUGUGGUUGAAUGAUAAAGGUAAAGCUGUGGCACAAGGGGUCCAAUUACGGAAAAGGAAGAGGAUCAUUCCUAUGUGGAAGAUCAUUGAAGGCAUUGAAUUGGUUCCAAAAACUGGGGCACAGACAACCGGACUGAAGAUGUUAGACCCAAUGAAGGCGAUUCCGCAUGAUGAUCUGGUGAAUUUGCUGAAACUUUGUUGGGAAUGGCGCCAGGACCCAAAGUAAGUCCCUUGCAAUUAUAAGAUAGAAGCACGACUGUAUAUAAUUUUUAAUAUACAGUGUUCUAAAACUGUUUUAUAUUCAUAGUUUAGUGAUGCAAUUUGGCAACGUGGAAGCUGAGAUUGAAUUCUUCGCUUCCCUCGUGAAAGCUGAUGGUUGGCUGAAAGGAGAUGUAAGUGUAAUUGAUUAUGCAUUUGUUUUAAUGUAUAUAGAUUAUGAGAUUGACAAGAACAACAUGUUGCAGCACAUUGAGUUGGGGUUGUAUCUCAUCCGGAAGCGACAACAACAGUUUGAGGAAGUAGAAAUAGCGGACUGGACAACGACAGAUGUUUUUUUUAUGGUAUGUCAUCGGCCUUGACCAAGUGCCGUUAAUAAUUACACAUUUUCCAUACAGACAAUAGUGGAGGUGUUUAACCAUUGAUUGUUUUGUAUUUCACAGAAUCACAUUCGAACUUGCUUUGCGGAUAAUAAAAGAAAAAAACAGCAGCUUGGGUGGAAAAUCAGAAAAAGUUUACUAAACGUUGUAAAUGGGAAGGUUCCUCCGUGUGGGAUGGAUUGGCAGAACGUCUAUACGGUGUAUACCCCAGUUAUGUUGACGAAGUACAAGCAUUGGGUGGCUGUAAUGAUUGAUCUGGUAUUGUGUGAAAUCAAAGUGUACGAUUCAAAGGUUUCACUAAUUCCAGAUGACAUCGUAAAGGAAGAACUCGCCCCGCUAUCAAUUAUGCUUCCAAAUCUUCUCAACACCAUCGACUUUUAUGAAGAAGGUGUUUAUGCAAACAAUUGCAUGCGAGAUUGGUGGUGUCCGUGGCCAAUAGAGCGUGUGGAUGUUCCACAACAGUCUAAUGAGUAAGCACAACUUGCAAUUUAAUUUUAUUACUUUCAAUUGUCAAUUACGUUAGAAUGUCAUUAGUUGAAUUGAUCGAGUUCUUGUUUUGCUUCAGAGGCGAUUGUGGCAUGUUUGUGUUAAAGUACAUUGAGCUUAUCAGCGCUCAGCUUUCGUUAGCUAUUUGCACCUCGCACAACAUGCCUUUUUUUCGGUUGAAAUUGGCUGCGGAGAUAACAAGGGGAGAUGCUUACUUCCCAUGAUAUUGGUUGAAGAUGACAAAUGGUACAUGAGAAGGUUUUGGGAAUGUCCAUUCUCAAACUAAUGUAAAUACACAAUAGAGACGUACGUGUCCUUUUCGAAUUCUACCGCUAACUCCUUCAUGACAUUUACAUGUUUGUUAACCAAACUGCAUUGAAUUGGAAUUUUAAGACUGCAUAUGUUAAUUGGGAUUUGAAGAUGGCUUUUUAAGUGUAUUACACCAUUGCAAAGUGAUAUGUCAUUGUUGAUGCAAGCCACCAUUAUUCGCAAUGAGUUGCAUCAUAAUAGGUGUGUAAACAUGCGAAAGGUUUUCGGCAGCUCAGUAGCAUAAAAGUAGAAACAAUUACAAUAUACACAAAAUGAACAACAAUUCACUUGCGUUUGGACAAGCAAUACAGACACAACAGACAAACAAUAUACACAAAAUUGGCCUGCCAUAUACAGACAUACACACAGUAGACAUGCAAUAUACACACAGUAGACAUGCAAUAUACACACAAUAGACAUGCAAUAUACACACAAUACACAUGCAAUAUACACACAAUACUCCCUUAACACACACAAUAGACAUGCCCUUGCCCACAAUAAUGAUGCAAUAUACUUCAGUCCCCAAGUACACCAACCAUAAGGAAGUCGUAUUGAAUAGGAUAUUAAACUUAACAGUUGUUCUUCCUACUAAAAGAAAGAAUAACGUCCGUUUCCCCCCUUCAUUCUUACUUCAGUGAUACUUGUGGCCCCAAUAAACAUCCAAUAUUGGGUCAAGGAUAUUCCAUAUACAUGCAGCAAACUAUCAAUAAACCUUCAAUAAACAUUCAAUAUCGGUUCUAUAACAUGCGAAAUACAUGCAGUUAACAAAUAUUACAAAAUGGGUUUAGGGUCUCAUUGGUGGUGCGUGCAACAUGUCUUGUGCGGAAGAACUUUCACAAUCUUUGAAACCAUGCAGUUAAAUGAUCCUUAAAAGAACAAAUAAAAUGACAAUUGAUACAACUAAUAAAACUAAUACCAAGUCCUUAAUGGACUUCAGCAUGUUCAGCACUCUAGCAUCAUACGUGUCAUCUUGAUGUUCUGCUUCAGCGGAGGUUACAUCAACCCAUUCGAAUCCAUUGCAACUGGUGGCUCCCUAAUUGCAGGCAUCAUAUAUGGAAUAUAAUUCUGUUAGAGUUAGACAUGGGUUUAUUUUGACCCACAUACAUAUUAUUGAAAUUAAAACUUACAUAGGAGGUUAGACACUUCCAGAAUGGCUUCCCUCGAUUUUUGUCAGAUUUUGAAACCCGAAGCACCAUUGUAGCUCCACAAUACUGACACCUCUUUGUUUGAGCAGGAGAUGAAGACGAAGACAUGUUGAAUCUUCUCAGUUGUACCUCUUCUCACUCAGAUCUUCUCACUGAAACCUCUUCGGACUCAUACCUUCUCACUCAUCGUUGUCAUUCAUACCCCUUCACUCAUAACCCUAAACUUGUCACUCAGCUCUCUCUCAUCUCUGCCCAAAUCGAGUUAUAUUUCUUUUUUUUGGGAUCAUUUGGUGGGUUGGUCACGAUCUCGACACCCGUACCGUCGGCAUUGCGACAUCUUUUAGCCCGAAAAGCAAUAUAAACUACUUCACUACCAAAUAUAUUUUCUGAAAAAUGAGGGGACACUGCUUCAAAUUUAUUAUUUUAUAUAUAUUUCAUUAAGGCAACUAGUUGGAUAAGAAUCCGUCAUUAUUGGUUCCAUUUGAAUAACAUUACUAGGGGUAGUUGGGUGUGGGAAAAUGAAAAAGUAUAUGAUGGGACCUUCUGUCACUACUCAGUAAUCCAUCACAUUUGUAUCAAUGAAUUUGAUAGUGGGAUAAUCCCACAAAUGGCUAUGCAAAUAGCCAUUUAAUGAACUUUUUGACUGUCUGACUCUGUAUGCACCGUUAUGACGUUUUCCCUUCUUUUGUCUUCAGUUUUAAUUCACUUGGGUUCAGUUUCUUUAAAAAUGGUCAACUUGGAAAAACCCCAACUGGAAACACCUUUUCAAAACACUAUAAACAGAGGCUAAAACAAAACGUGUACCCCAAAUAUUCUCAUUUAUCCCCUCUGCCACUCCUCAAAUCGUUCCAUUCCAAAAACUUUUCAAUGAAUUCGAAACACUUCACUACAGUCGGAGGAAAGAGAAGGAAGCAUCUCCAUUUCGAUAUGCCCGAAGCCUUCAUCCCGGAGUCCGCUUGGUUUCAAGUGAUGUUAUACGUGGCAACCGAAUCAUCGGAAGAUCUCUUCCGUAUGGCAUCUGUGUGCCCAUUGUUCCAAACUUUGGCAAACAGUCCACAAGUGUGGAACACCAUUUCAAUGGCAAAGUACCCACACCAUCCUAGCUGGUACCGUGCCAGACCUGCGGUCCAGCAUUUCUUGCAACAAUGCAGGGCUUGCGAUAACCCUGAGUCGAUAUUUAGAGAAGCAUUCGAUAUUUUUUUCAGGGCCAGUAAGGUGGAAGCGUUGUAUGGGAUGCGCAUUGCAGCCACGGCAGGCCAUAUGGAAGCGGCAUAUGUAGUUGGACUACUUGGUAUAUCCGGAAUUGGUCAGUCAAAAGAGGAUGCAUUACAAUUCUUGUGUUCUUUGAAUCAACGUAACAACAUUGAUAUGAAAGGAACCAGGGAUGCUUUGACACGAAGAUUAACCGGACCAAGAGUUGCAAGACAUAUCGUAGAUAUAUUUGACUAUGGGAAGAUUAAGUUCAAUCGCUGCAGCACUUGUAACAACAAUGAAUGGUAUUUUGUUAUUCAAGGCUGGCCUAGUGAAGACAAGAUAAAUCCUGCCUUCUAGACUUGUUGCAAUCGAUGCAAAUGGCACCGUGAGAGUAUUUUUUGGUUCAAACUGAUGCGUGAGUAUGUUGUGCGAGGGAAUCAUGUAUUUUUGCAUUAGUUUUAGUACGAAUUUACGGUUUUGAUGCAUUGUGGACUUACUUCUCUUCACUUCUAGGUUGGCUGGCUACGUUGUACAAAUGUUGUUUAAAUGUUGUUUAAAUGUUGGUAUUUUGUCAUAAACCGUUUUAUAUAUAAAUGUAUAAUAUUUAUUAUAUAGCGGAAUUAUUACUUACAUCAUAGACGGCUACGAAUGACAUUUUACUGACACAGAUAUUUUGCUCACCCACCCCAAUAUUCAUAUUUGGUAAACGAAAAGUCAUGCAUGGAGUAAAUAGGUGUCUUUUCACCAAUGCUUGGGAAUGACAUUUUCCCACUUAGCAUAUUCGACAGGAUUUGGUUACACGUUUCUUAAGCAAAAGUUGAACAGUGAAUGACGUUGAAUAAUUUGUUUGUGUGGAAGGAGUACAAUGGAUGACUUGUAUAUUUCCAUAUUAUGUUUGAAAACAUCCCUUCAACCUAAAAAAUAAAAAAAUUAACAAAUUGAAGAACAGAGAAACCGAUGAGCACUACAAAUGGCCUAUUCGCACGGAAAAUAAAAUUGUUUUAAACAAGUUGGACUAAAUAUAAUUAACAAAUGGACAGCCUAAAAAGUAAUAUCAUAAUAAUUAUAAUAAUUGUGGAUUAAUAAUAAUAAAAUACUAAUGUAGCAUAACCAUGAAACAGGGAAUUCAGUAGGAAGAUGAAAUCUCAAUAAGUUCGUUGAAAUGUUCGGAUCGUUUUUCUAAUUUUUGUGUAUUUAGUUCUGAAUUUUCCAAGAAAAAAAGUAAUUAAAUAAUAAUUUAGGGUAAAAUGGGAUGAUGUGGCCAUGUUGACUGACGUACACUUGUGCAAGUACUCAUAAGUGAGGGGCUGAGAUCGCGCCAGGUGUCUUCUUGGAAUUAGGGUUGGCUAUUUUAGUGGAAAAAUCCUUGAAAAUAGGUAAAAAAUAGUAGGAAAUUCCUAUUCUAGGUUGGGAAAAUUACCCGCGCCUCCUUGUGACGUCAUAAAACUAGGAGAACCUAUAAAUCAUCCGUCUCGCAAUGAAAUAAUCCAAAAUGUUUUACAUAACUCACUUCCCUCUUUACCCUAAGUAUUGAUGUUUGUUAACUUGAACUUCAAUAACCUACUUCAACAAGCAUCUCCCGUUAAUGUUGGGAAUAAUUGUCUAAAAUGCGUAACAAUGAAUCGGAGAAUUCAGCAAGGGAGAUGGAGUGUCAAUGAGUUCGUAGCAAUUUUCGGAAAUAAUUUUGAAUUUUUGUGUAUUUAGUUAUGAAUUUUGUAAGACAAAGUAAUAAAAUAAUAAUUUAGGGUAAAAUGGGAGGAUGUGGCCAUGUUGACUGACGUACACUUGUGCAAGUAGUCAAAAGUGCCGGGCUGAGAUCGCGCCAGGUGUCAUCUUCUUUUCAAUUUUGGAUUCUUUUGUUAAAAAAUCUUUGAAACUAAGUAAUAAAUAGUAGGAAAAUCCUAAAAAUGCCCCCAAAAUUACUCCGGCCUACUUGUGACGUCAUAAAACUAGGAGAACCUAUAAAUCAUUCGUCUCGCAAUGAAAUAAUCCAAAUUGUUUUACAUAACUCACUUUCCUCUUAACCCUAAGUAUUGAUGUUUGUUAACUUAAACUUGAAUAACCUACUUCAACAAGCAUCUCCCGUUGAUGUUCGGAAUUAUUUUUAAAAAUGCGUAACAAUGAAUCGGAGAAUUCAGCAAGGGAGAUGGAGUGUGAAUGAGUUCGUAGCAAUUUUCGGAUAAUUUUUUUAAUUUUUGUGUAAUUAGUUCUGAUUUUUGUAAGGAAAAGUAAUAAAAUAAUAAUUUAGGGUAAAAAGGGAGGAUGUGGCCAUAUUGACUGACGUACACUUGUGCAAGUAGUCAUAAGUGACGGGCUGAGAUCGCGCCAGGUGUCCUCUUGCUAUUAUUUUGGCUUUUUUAGUGCAACAAUCUGUGGACAUAGGUAAUAAAUUCUACGAAAAUCCAAAAAAUGCCCGGAAAAUGAGAAAAUGAAAAUUAUUUGUACAUAACUCACUUUCCUCUUAACCCUAAUUCACGUGUAACACGUAUAUUUCGGAUAAUAUUCGAUAUAUAAUUUGUAAUAAUACAAUAUUUAGUUUCACUAUAUACAAUAAUAUGUUUUGUUAUAAUAAUGUACAUAAAUAAUAAUUGCACAUGCUUUGAAGCCAUCAUUGCAACUACGCCUAGAGCUUUCAAGACGUCAGUUCGUAUUCAAUAAGUUGUCCACAUGCAAGUGCACCUACAGUUUUCAACACGUCAGAGGUAUUCAAUAAGUUGUCCACAUGCAACUGCACCUAGAGUUAUUAACACGUCAGAGGUAUUCAAUAAGUUGUCCAUAUGACGCCGCAUUGGGAAUCAGUAAUAUAUUUUCAAUCAUGUCCAAUCACAUAAAAUAAUGGCAUACUUUUUCUCAAUAACCUCACACAAGUGAAGCAAUUUUAAAACCCUUACUGAAUAUUUGUCCUAGUCUAUAUGAGUGAUUAUAUAAUCAGUCUGCAUUUUUUUCACAGUAUAUGUUAACUUUGAGAGGGAUUCCACAAACAUAAAAUAUAAAGAAAGCAAGAAAUAGUAGGAGAUGAACCAGUAGAAAAAACAAUAUAUAAAUGGUACAUAAUAAUUCCAUAACCUUGUCACAAACGCACUCACAAAAGCUUUUCCAUAAACCUUGUCCUAACAUAUAAUAAAUAAAGGCAACAUUGCAUAUGAUGCAACCAUGUCCAAAUCUGAUACGUGAUCAAAAACAAAUGGACAUGGCAGCAACAUAUGACUGAAGUAGAUGGGCUCUUUGCAUCUUGUGUUUUCGUAAUUAAAGACAUCAAAAUAUUAAGGUUUAAAUCUUCCAUAGUAGUUAGCAUCAAAAUAGCUUUGAAGCAGAGUGUAAAGAAAAUUCCAAUUCCACUGAUUUGCCUCUGCUCAAACACGAGAACCAAAAUGGUUACUUCCCUUGCUGAGUAUAUUUGGUGACGUCGGAAACGGUAAUAGAUGAUCAAUCAAACCCAGGUACGACGAGUUUUGCAUAGGAUCGGAAGUAGUCGAAUCCAGCUUGCAUCACACGCUUCUUUGACUCCACUGCAUUAGAUGAGUUCUUGUAUUUUUGAACAGCUACACUCCGAAGUCGUUUGUGUCUACGCUUCAUGCGCUGCAACUUCACCCUAUCCAGAUUGGCCUGCCUUUUGUCAUCUUCAAUUUGGCCUUCAACAAAUUCCAAACGUGCCCUUGCCCUUUGGAUUUCAUCACCAAGUUGAAGAUGCCUCUCCUUCCAAAAAGCAACAACUCUUUCAGACUCAAAACUUCCAACAAAAUGGUCAUUCUGUCUAGGAAUGUGACAUUGCUUGUCUGGUGACUCACUUGCGUGUCGAAGGCGGUCUUUGUUUGGAGGGGUGUUUAUUAUGCUCACAUCAAACUUGGUUAGUAAAUCCAUUCUUUGGGGGGAAUGAGUUUGUUUGCUUGAGAGAGUAUCAGUAGAUGGAGACAGAUUCGGUGGAGGAGUGAGUUUUGUGUGGAAGGAGAAUUUAUAUGAAAGGGGUGAUAGUAAUACCAAGAAAAGGGUUCCCGCCAAAAAAUAUUUGGUUGAGAAUGUAUAAAUUAAUUUUUGGUCUGAUACAAUCUAAGUUGAAUCCUAACUAGUUUGGUUGAGUUAACUAAGUAGAUGUCACUUCCAUUGAGUUUCUUUCAACCACUAUCAGUGGUGUCAGGAGAGUGUGAGGUUGACAUGCUUGAAAAGCAAAACCUGACACCUAUUUUUAAAAAAUUCCAUAAAAAAAGUACAUAUGUUGACUACACACAAGCUUUGGUAUGUUGGUCUAUAAACCUAUGUUCCCUUUCUCAAACGAAAUUGCAUAUGCAAUCCUCAUCCUCCCAAAACAAAGAGGAUUAUUCAAGCAUGUCAACCUCUUCAGGCGCCAACAACACAAUCGAAGAUGACAAAUUGGAGUCGCAGGUUCUAUUUCCACAUUGUACUCGCCGACCCCUUCCUUUUUCAACAUCAUUUGGGAGUGAGGGGGACUCCGAUGAUCCAUUAGAGGCAAUACAUGCAGUCAGUGGCAAGCUGGAUUAUAAUUCCAGACUGAUCAAUUCAUGGCACGAGAAAUGUGUUGAAGACGAGGCAAUUUUGGCUGAUCUUAACAUUAGAGUGAACAAAGCGUUCUCCCAAAAGAACAAGUACUUGAAGCUGAGUCAUAGCAGGAAGCUGAAAGCUGAGGAGUUGGAUACAGUAAUGAAUGAUGAAAUGAAAGGUUGUUUGCUGAACCACAUGCGAUGCGAAGAGCACCAUAGUGAACUGGAGUUGGCAUUCAACGAAGGAUUCGACAAAUUUCGAGCAUUUGCGGCAACUACUCAUACAAGUUAUGAUUGGAACUAUGUGUCCCCUGAUGCUGUGAGAGAGAUACUAGACGAUGGGGGUGACAUGAAUGAGCAUAAGCACGUCAAAGCUGCUCGGAAGAAGCCGACCGAUACGACUAAGUGAUUGCGGCUACCGCUGUUCAGUUGGUUGAGGGUGACCGUGGUAUUGCACAUAUACUCCCUUAAUGUCAUUAUCUAAUUUCAAAUAACACAAAUAUCAGUUUCAUUUGCUUCAUAUAUAAUUAUUGGGACUAUGUAUUGCAAGUCAUCAUGUGUUAUAAUGUCUAACAUUAUAUUUUGCAAAUAUGGAAAUAUUAUUCAAUAAGCAGUCAAUAUCACAGCAAGCCGGGAAUCAGUAAAUGCUCCUUAUCAUGUCCAUUUACAUUAAAGAGCUGGCGUACUAAUGUGUUCAAAAAAAACUGAGACGUGAGUCAUAAGUAACAUAACAUGUGCUAUACAUUGUUUACUGAAUGGUUUAUGGUUUAUUUUUAUAUAAUAAAAUUCCAAAUAUUGCUGAAGAUUUAUUUCGUCUAUAUGACUAGGGAUAUGAGUGGCCAUAAGCAUGUGAGACCUGCUAAGAAGAAGCUGACGAGUACGACCGAGUGAUUGUGGCUACCGUUGUUCAGUUGGUUGGGGAGAUCGUGGUAUUGCUAAGAGGGAGCACAUAAUAUGUUUUGCAAUCAAAUGUUCUUUUGUGUGUGGAAUUAUGAGUAUUUAUGUAAGUUAGUGUACCCUUUAAUAUUUUUCACCUAAGUAUCGAAAUGUAAUUAGCUGCAAUGUUAUGUUUCAUUUUUACACGCUGCUUUCUAUUUGCUCUGUUCCAACAAAGUGCUUCAAGUAUCCUUCAGUUACAAAAGUGUACAAAAUCGUGCCCCUAAUAACCAGUCGUCAAAAGUGGCUACUGCUGGAAAUGAUUACUGGUAAUGGAAACAACAGCUGGCUGCUGGAAAUGCUGCAUUAGCCUGAGGAUUUGAAAAAUGAAUCUCUGUUAAAACAUAAUUCACCCUAAACUGCCCAUUUUACAUGGUAAAGGUCAUUGCUUCUUCACAUAACUACAAAUUUCAUACUUGAUCAAAUGUCUAUGAAAAUUUAUAAAUAGGGAGAAGACGUAAAAUUAACAUGUCUCCAAAUUUCAUGGAAGAAUGAAACCAAGGAAAUUUUCAUUUCAAUUACCAGUGGACAUAGUAAGAGCUCAUCGGUGGACAUGAACAAAAACACAAUAAUAUUCAAAAACUGAAUCUAUAAAACUUCACCUGAUCAUUAAUCUUCAUAACAACCACAUUUCGUCUAAUACAAAUAUAAAUCAUUUAGUUGGUCCGUGCAUCCUGUCAAAAUCGUCGAAUAAUGGGUCACUACGAUGUAUUGGAGUUGAUUCGUCAUUGUUCGACGGUGAUGUCCUGCAUAAACAUCAAACACAAGCACAUAAAAAUUUUACCUUUUCAUAUUUUAGAUGUUAUUACAACUAGUGUUAGCAUCUUACGGUGUGUUCAAGGCUGGGCAUUGUCUUCUAUCAUGACCAAUGUGUCCACACUCCCGACAGUGUCUAAUCCCUCGCUUCAUUGCCUUUUCCUUUGCUCCCGUUACUCCUUUCGACCUUCCUUUGCACCUCACUCUCUUAGGGUCUUUCAUAUAUUGUGUUUGAGAGCUGGACCCUCCAACUUCGUUAUUACUUAGUCCAUCCUUCAGCAACUUUAACUUCACCUGCAAACUUUUUAGAGUCUCUGACAGUAGCUCACAUCCUUCUUCACUCAUUAAUGCAUCCUCAACCACAUCUGAAGCAAGUCGAGACAUUGUACUCCGCUUUAUUAGAAGGCCAGGAUCUGCACAGUCUUUAAUUUCGUUGCCAUUUGCAUCUGACACCAUUCCAGAUUUCGCAGUUUUCUUCCACCUCUUCAAAAUAUAUUUAUCGGGCAUAUAUUCAAUCUGGUCCCUUCUGAACAAUGCUAGGAUGUGCUUGCAAAUAAUUCCAACAAAUUCAAAUCUUUUGCAGCUACACGAUGCGUGGUCAGAAUCUUUGACAUAUACGACUUCUGCCACUCUUGUUUCCCAAUUUUUCCUUUCGCUCACGUUAAAGACAACUUUACAAGCAUCCUCUGUUUUGAGCUCUAGGAAACAUGCUGUACUUUGUAUUAGUUCUUGCUCAAACUUUUGAAACAUUGUCCUUGUGUACAAGGUAGCCAUUUGUUUGUUCAUUGGCAUCGGUAGAAGACAUUGAGCCACUUCAAAUGCAUCUACGUGAUCAGCAACUAACUCUUUUUCACGUUGAUGAGAAAGUGCCCUCUCAAAUCGUAUUAUGAAAUCCAUCAACGAAUUUCUCCUUGAUAUGUAUUGCUUGAAAAAACCAUGAGAACCUUCCGCUCUUUGGCUGCUUGACAUUCCAGCGGCAAAAAAUUGUCGUGCGUAGGCUGGAACCCAAGAUUCCCUUAAAUCAAACAUUGAACUUAGCCAUGGAUGGUCGGUCAAACCAGCCUUUGUAACCACAAUAUUCCAUUUUGCAUCAAACUCAUCCUUAUUGUCAGUAUCCCAUAUGGCUUUCUGAAAUUCACGCCAAUACUCCUUAUAAGCGUCACGUGGUAACUUAACAGAGAACUUUGAUGUGAUGUGCCAUAUGCAAAGUCGAUGAAAUGUACUCGGGAAGGCUAUUGAAAUCGCUAUGGCCAUUGCCGCAUCUUGAUCUGUAAUGAUCGUUUUAGGUUCCCCACCUGGCAUGGCUUUCUUAAACUCCUCAAACAUCCAAACAAACGACUCAGUCGUUUCCUUGCUCAAAAAUGCACAUGCUAAGACAAUUGUUUGACCAUGGUUAUUAACUCCCAACAUUGGUGCAAAUGUCAAGUCGUAUCGAUUCGUGUUGAAUGUGGUAUCGAAUACAACAACAUCUCCAUAAAACCCAUACGCCCGUCUAGAAGUUGCAUCUGCCCAAAAACAUCGACUAAACCUGUCAUGCCCAUCUCCCUCAAUCUUGAAAUAAAAAGCCUCAUUUUUUUUCUGUUCAGCCAUAAAAUACUCGGUCACUAGUUCAACAUCGUGGUUCCUCAGCUUCCCAUUCACACUACAUUCAAGAUUGUAGAUAUCUUUUUUGAUAAAACCGAUUUUAUCCAUUCCUCCGGAUUGCACCUUGAAAAUACUUACCUUAUGAUGAAUGGGAAUAUUAACUGAACCCAACUGUUUUGUGAGUACUUUGUAGAAUCUGAAAUAUGACGGUGUGAUCUCAAUAAAUGCAUUCUUUCUGAGGGUGUCAUCUUAUGAUUGUGUCCCUCUGCAAAAAGAGAUAUGGUAUACUUCUUGCUCCCAUUUGUCUUCACAACCACAAUCUUAGCUUUGCAAUUGCAUCUACUUAUUCCCCGUUGUCUUUUUCUCUCCCGAGUUUCAUCCUUCCUGUAUGCACCUUGUUUGCAACAUACAAAUUCUUUCCUCAAAAUCUCUUUCUUAUUUUUCCCCCAAAAGCUAGAAUGAAGUCGAAUACCAAAGCCAGCAAAGAAUGCAUAUCUAUUAUAGAAAUUGUAAACGAGGUCAAGCGAGUCAAACUUCAUCCCAACUGCUGGUGUUUCCUCAUUUCUUACUUCAGGAAUAUAAACCCUCCCAUUAGCUGUUGCACAUUCAUCACUCUCUGAGCCCCCAGACAUUUUAUCUACGUAUAUUAUUGAUCCACUUCUAUAUUACUGCAUAGCAAUUAUUCAUUCAUUAAUCAGUCAUUACUGCAUCACAACAUAUCAAUGCAUUCCACUUACACAAAACAUUGCCCAAAUUGACACAAAAUACGCAUAGCCUAACUUCCGAUUACACAAAACGCAAGCAAAAUUUCAUAAAAGUUACGUCAUCUCUUGUGAAAUAAUCUGGUCAAAAUAACAUUAGAACCAACAUGUUCAACUAAGAACACAAAUGUAAUUCAAACCACCAAUUACAGAACUUCACCCAAUAUCCUCUCCAACUGCUUACUCCUAAUGUCAUUAAGCCUAAGUUUAGGUUCUUUUACCUACAUUUCAUAAUUUUCCACCCCGACCAACAACAAUGAACUAAGAAUAUUGAAUAUUCAUAAGGAAAUGACACAUUAUUGAUGCCACAAAUGACGAAUUUCCCACCCUCACAAAAGAUAAACCUAACCCAAUAAAAUCAAUCCAGCAAGUGAACUUACCUCUCAAAAUCAAUCGGGAGCUCUGAAGUCAGUCAGCUUGAAAGAAUGUGGUGGACAUUACAGAAGACUCUUUGGUAUUUGAGACUCCAUCUCUACCAAAAUCGAGGAACAACUGCUGCUGCGGCUUCUAGCUACAAAAACAGAUAUGCUACUUUGCUUUCAUCUGGAAUCUUGUCAGCUGAAUGAAAAAGAGAAGGGGUUUUCACUUGAGCCAUAGAAUCAAAACAGGGCAACAGCUAGGUAAGAGCCAUUCUUCGUAAUACCCAGGAUACCAUAGAUCGCAGGCCUCCCAACGAGCUAAUGACAGUCGAGUGACUAUAAGGUUUGGGAGAUUUGGAUCCUUCUAAUUGUGGGUUUGCUUUACAUUCAAAAAGAAAGGAUUGUGUUCUUCAGUUUUUCACAGAGAGGGAAAGAGGGGAACAACUGAAGUUGGGUUUCUAACGGGUUAGAUUUCAACCCGAUUCUACAUGCACCCUCUUUUAAAAACUCACCGUUGGAUGAAAUCCAACGGCUCUUACAUGCCCCUCAAAAACACCCCUUAUAACUUCCCACUCACUAUAGAAGCUCCCCUGUUUGUGUUGUUGAAUUGGGUCUUUUAGUUGUUUUUGUAAACUCUGAUUUAAGUCUAGUUUGGUAUUGCUGUACUUUUAAAAAAAACUACUUCCGCUGUGCUGCUAGAAUACUCAGCUGUAAAAAAAAUUAGUUAUGCUUUUGGUAAACUAUAUUUGAAAAAGUGCUGUGAGUAAUCCAAAUGUUUGGUAAAUGACCAAAAAAAAGUGCUUUUAAUACGUACAAUGACUAAAAAGGACAUGAUGAUGGAACUAUUUGAUUUUUUCUUCAUUCUUUUUCUACUUAAAAAAAACUUCACUACAUAAUUUUUUUUUCUUUUUUUAUUUAUACUAUACACGUGUUCCUCUCUUCUCAAAAAAGUAAAUGCCUUUUGUUAUGUAUUGAAUGCUAACCCAACGACACCAAUUGGAAACCCAACACAGCCCAUCUCUCCACUUCAAUUUUUCUCUUUCUACCAUUUACAAGUUUUUUUUCUUCAUUCCUUCGUCUAACCAAAAAUAUCUCAUGUUUCCCCCAAUUAGUUUUAGUACUUUUGGGUAGGUGAGACUGAAAAGGGGAAAAAUUGUAUGUUGGGUUUAUGUUUUGGUGUUCUUGCAAUGGGAGAUAACAUAGUGGAGAAAGUAGCCAUGGUGAAAAUACAGAUUUCUGGGUUGCAGCCAUGGAGAUUUGAGCUGAUUUACAGUGCUGUAGUGGGGGUAGUUGAAGCCCCCCCAAAGUUGGGACUACUGCAACAGGAUCUUUCCACCCAAAACCAAAAACAAGAACAACAAACUCAGGUGGAACAUGAAACUCAUCACUCUCUCUCUUCCUUCGACUCGGGUUUUCUCUCUUCUUCCUCAAACCUGCGACAAAUAGAAAAACCCCCAAUUUAACAGAGAAAACUCUAGAUGCAGAAAGUUUGAGAAGUAGAAAACCAAAAAACCAUAAUUGUAAUUAAGUUAUUGAUGAAUGGGCAACCUUCUUAGCAAUUAAUUUUUUGAUGUCCACAAUGAGAGUUCCAGCAGCGUCAGAGAGUAGAGAAGGAAAUGAAGGAAAUAGAGUUCACAGAAUGGAGAAGAAAAAAGGGGCAAAAGACCGUCAAUUUGUAAAAUAAGUGAGGGUAUUACGGGAAAGUUAAAAGUUCAUUAAAACAACCGGUUAAAUUUUUUUUGAAGCAGCUUUUAAAAGCUUGGUAGAGACGGCUUCGAAAAAACAGCGAUCAUUGACUGCGAUUUUAAAAAAAAGCAGGAUUCCUGAUGUUUUCCAAACACCCAACUCAUGAAAUUUUUUUAUUAAAGCUGCUUUUUAAGAAAAUUAAACGCUGCCAAACACCACCUUAACCAUUUUCUUUGCGUGUGCCAAAUUUAUAAUUUUGACCAGUGUCAUGCAGGAAAAUGUUUCAUGCUUUGUUAACAGGGGGCUUUCGAUGAGUAUUUUAUUUAGAUGAAAAGUGAUUCAUUCCUUUCCUUUAUGGAUUCAUCUUGUUAGGUUGAUCUAUUGAAGAAUGAGCUUGGAUUUGAUGAGGCUUUUAACUAUAAAGAAGAGGCUGACUUGAAUGCGGCUUUCAAAAGGUGCAUAUGAGUAAUGAUAGAGAGAUUACAUUUAUAAACCCUAGCGGACCAUGAAUAUAAUGAGUCUUAAAUCUAUUAGACAAUUGGUUAGUUGACAGGUGGUAUACAAAGCAGUCUACAAAUGUGAUCUCCCUAUCAUUUUCCGUAAAAUACAUAUUUAUUAUGUUAUACUAGUUUCCUUUAGUAAGAAAAGAAAGGAAAAAAACUAUUAUUAAGAAUUUGUGUGUUGUUAGGGUUCAUCAUUGGGCUGGGCCAACUCAAAAAUUUUGGGUUCGAGCCGAGCCCUCAUGGGCCGAAAUGGGCCAGACUUUUUGUUAAAAAGUCUUUUCAAUCUUUUUGUUACACAUUUCGUUUUUUCAAAAGUGAUGGAUAUAGAGUAUUCUCUUAAACAAUAGUAUAGAUUACUACAUAAUUUAAGAAAACAAAAAUAUAAUAGCCAAACUUUUUUACUAAACCUAGACCAAUAACCAAUAUAUUUAAAAAAUAUUAUACCUAAAAAUGAAUCUUAUGAUGUGCAAUUUGUGCCUUAAUUAACUUAUAUCCCAAAUUAGGAUUGACAUCAUGAAAAUUAAAGCAAUUUGUGCCUUUAAAAUUAAUAAACCCAGAAUAAGCUUUCAAAUUCUUUAUUGAACCGUUAAAUUUGAACUUGACAAAAAAGGGGCACUAAGAGAUAUAGUGCAUAUAUUGCUUGUUUGUUACAAAAUUUUAGACAACAUUGAAAAAAUUAACUUAAUUUAUAACAUGUGUAAACAAAAUAAAAAGUUUAUUAGUUUAUCAUACAUAUUACAUUAUUUUGAUUAAGUAUAAAAUGAGGUUAGGGAAUGCAUCAAUUAAUCUUAAAAAAAUGAAAAGCAUAAGCGGGCGGGCCGAGCGGGCCUAACCAUCUUGCUAGGCUGGACUUUGACCCAUCAAGCCUCGGACUACCCACUUCGGAGCCGCGGGCCAAAUGAUGAUCCCUAUAUGUUGUAUAUGAUGCUUUGAAGCUUGAGCUUUCUUGAGUGAAGGAUAAAUUUUCUUUGUAAUUACCAUACACUUGCCAGGUAUUUCCCUGAAGGCAUUGAUAUUUACUUUGAGAAUGUUGGAGGCAAAACGCUAGACGCAGUGCUCCUCAACAUGAGAGUCCAUGGCCGCAUUGCUGUAUGUGGAAUGAUCUCACAGUACAAUCUUGAUCAAGCAGAAGGGGUAACAAAUUUGAUGCACCUUGUGUAAAAACGUAUCCGCCUCCAUGGAUUUUCGGUAAGAGAUCACUAUCACAUCCAUCCGAAAUUCGUGGAGUUUAUGCUGCCUUACAUUAGGCAAGGAAAGAUUGUUUAUGUGGAAGACAUAGUUGAAGGCCUUGAGAGUGGUCCAAGAGCGCUGGUUGGACUUUUUAAGGGUCUUAACUUUGGAAAACAAGUAGUUGACGUCUCUGCAUGAAUAAGUUGUUUUGUCAAUCGAUUUGGUGUGCUUGUGUUUCUAACCACUAUAACUUUGUUAAGUGGCUCUUUGGUUUUAUUUUUAUGUUUUUGGAUCCUUUUUGGGAUUGCAUAUGUUAAGUGGUGCACUUUGUCAUACAGAAGAUAUUCAUCAAUAAUAAGGGCUAAUUCAGGAUUGUUGUCACUUUUAAAAAAAGAUGCUUCUGUUGUGUUUUGGAAAUAAUAAGCUGUAAAGUAGUUCCAUGCGUGUUAAACAAUAUUUUUAAAGUGUUGUUAGUAUAAAAAGUUAUGUCAAAACCGUUUGGUAAAUUUUGAUAUAAAACUAGUAACUGUUGAUAAUGACUAAAACAUACAUGAUAUGUCGAAAGUGUUACGUGGUAACCAUAUGGUGGUGGUGGCGGUGGUGGUAUAGGUGGAGGUUGAGUUGGUGGUGGUGGUGGAGGUGGAGGUGGUGGUGAGGCGUGCUACGGGCACCAACUUAAAUACUAAUUUAAUGAUACCAACCUAUGUGGCAUAUGACAUGACAAUUUAUGUCAUAUGCCACAUCAUUUUUUUUAUUAGUUAAGUUUUAACAAUUUUUUGUCAGAAUUAACUUAAUUAUUUAGUUUUAAAUAAAUAAAUUCUGCUCCACGCCUCCCUUCCUUCUCGGAUCUACUACCAUGGCCUCCUUCCUCCCCAACUUGUAUGCCCUUAUUAUUACGCACAUUGAAUUUGGCUUUCGGGGUGUGACAUAUUUUUACCAAUCCCAUGAAGCUUUUCUUAUCUUUGAAUGCUUGAGUGCUAACCAUUGUGUGUUUCCCUUGCUUUAGGAAGAUUGCCUCACUCAGCAAGAAUGCAUGGUGAGGUGUUUGUGAAUGGUGCAAAAUCGGUACAUGUACAUGGCCACGACACCGAUAUAUAAAUGAGAAGAGAAUUCCUUGGUCAGUAUCAAUAUUGCGAAACUGUUGCAGCAUUGAAGGGUUGUGUGAACUCCUCGAUUUCAAGCGAAGUCGAAUAUUGCUUGAUGUGGAAGAUGGCUCAAACUAAUAAAAAUGAGGAAAACGGAUCAUACCAACAAAAAUAUGGCAGAUGGCCAGAAUCAAUAUAACCGUGGUCAGAUUUGGGAAGUGAGGCCAUGGCAGAUUCGGAGAGGGAGGGAGGCCAUGGCAGAUCUAUAAAGGAAUGGAGAAACAGAUCACACCUCUUCCCUUCUCCUCAUACCACAACUCAUCAUACACACCCAAUCGAUUUUGAAAUAUUACAUAAAAGUUGUGAUGGCGCUGGAACUGCAGAUUCAGAACGUUUUUUAUAUGCUUCCCACAAGCAGUCAGACAAACCCUUAGAGGACGAGUGACAUCAUUACCUUCUCAACUUACCAAAGAAAGAACUCCUUCCGAAGUGGUAACCACUUGCCGAUGCUCCCAACUACAGAACCAAGUUUCCAUGGACACGUGUCACCUCCACAAUAGUUUGCACAAAGUCCGACAUUGAAACUUUGUGCAAAACUCCCAUUUUCAGGGAACAGUACCUAAGGAAAAGGGGUAACUACUUUUCACAUUUACUGUUACUCUGCCAAAAUUACCACAUAUACUCGCUGACUUAAGUAUUGGAGAGUCUUCGGCAGGUACCACACCAGUGUCCGAAGCUUGACGAUCCCUUCUUCCUUGUUUUCUUAUGCAAGAUCCCUCCAUACCGAAGGUCCACAACCUUCUCCCUUGCUGAAGAUUUAACACUCCUUUAUCUAAGUUAACCCUCCGAAAAAGAGCAUCAACACGCGCAGCACUCAUUAUCUUUCAACAAUCUGAUUAUCUUAUACUAGUUAAUUUAUGGGUUGUUUGAUAACAAUUUCAAUUUUAAUUUUUAGUUUUCAUUUUCAUUUUUUUUGAAAACUGAAAACAUGUUUGGUAUUAGAUUUCGUUUUCAAAUUAAAAAAAAAGUGAAAUCUAGUUUUCAAAAUCACCUUUUUUUUAAAAAACAACUUGGAAGUGUUUUAUGUUUUUUUUUUAUGUUUUUUUUUUUUUUUUUUUUUUUUUUGUGCACUAUUGUUUGUUGGAGUGUUAGUUGACUUUCUUUGCACACCAAGGUUUCCCAUAUUAACUCAUGCAUAGAUUGGAAUUGAUUUCCUACUCUAAAUAGUAUUAGAAGUUAUUAAUUACCUUACUUAGCCUUCAAGGAAUAUUGUAUUAUAAAUAUGGCCUUCUACAAGGAGAAGAAUACACAGAAAAUUCUCACCACAAUUACUCUUUCGUAAUUUUAGCAUUAUUUCAUUCAUAAGUUUCACAUCACCACACAUGAAAUGCACUCCGGUUACCAAAAGUCGGUAUUUGGGACCUCCCAACUUGGACUUGGUCGCUCAAUUCGUGCUUUUGGCCACAAUCCCAAUCCAAACCUCGUCAACUCCAUGUCCAAAGGUCACUAAAAAAUAAUCAUAAUUUUAAAAAAUUCACCAAAAAAUAUUACGAAUUUUUUGUCAUUCCUGCUUUAACUUUACCUUUUGUUUUCAAAUGUUGACCCGUCCCAACCCAACUCUCAAUGCUCGAAGGGUUCUUUCGUGUAGUUAAGAGUUGGGUUUUCCAAGGUAGGUCUAUAUUGAUUCGAACAACUUUGCGGUAUAUCUGUGGGUAAGAUACUGUUCUCAAAGUAGUAAAGGCUGAACUAAAAGGCUAAAUGGGAAAAUGAAUACUUUCUUUUCUCUUCCUCAAGAAACAUACAUCCUCACCACAAGAGAGGGAGAGUUGCUUGGUAUUUUGUUAAAUAAAAUAAAAUAAUUAAUAAUUGAAAAUAGAAAAUGUUUGAAAAGGAUAUUGGGAAUAAAGAGAGAAGAUGCGGGUGUGAGUAAAAUAACAAUAAAAGAAAAUUAAAUCAAAAAUAAAAAAAUAAAAAAAUAAUUAAGUUUUGGGGAGUAGAAAUCGGGAUGGAGGGGGGAGAGAGAGGUUUUUUUUUAAAAAUUUUUUAUUCGUAUUUUAAUCAAUUUUGAUAUUGUUGAGGCCCAAAAAAGUUACGGGAAGCCCAAAGACAUUUAAAGCCCAAUAUAACAUAUAUUCUCAGUCAUGCGUUAAUCCAAGCUGUAAUUCGGAUUUAAUUCAUUAAAUAAAUAUAAAAUAGUGUACAUGUCAUGCUAAACUAAUAAUACAUUUUCCCCAUGCUAAUCACCUAUCAAGCUCACAUGAACCCAAGUCAUGUGAUUUACGGGCUUGCAUGAGGGAUUGUGGUGUGGAAGGUUACGGAGGUCCACAAGGCCCACGGAAGCUCUUGGAUAACAGAGACUUUGGGCUAGCUACUUGAGAGCACCAAAGUCCAAGCCCAUUACUUAGAGUUCUCCAAUGUGGGUGAGCAAAUGAGACAUUUUUCAAGCACUGCCUUUUACCUAUAGGAAAUAGUCAUUUUCCAAAUACCAAGCUUUACCCGUUGGAAACAAGCAUUUUCCAGCACUUCCUAUUACCCAUUGGAAACAAGCAGUUUCCAGUGCUUCCUUUUACCAAUAGGAAAAAAUCUGUUUAUGAUACCUAGCUUUACCUAUUGGAAAAUAGCAUGUCCUAGUCCUCCCUUUUAACCAUUAGAAAUAGGUUGGUUCCAAUACCUCCCUUUACCUAUUGGAAAUAAAGGAAAACCCUCACCCUCUAUAAAUUGGCACUCAUGGCUCAAGCAAAAGGCACCAAUUUUUCUUCAGCCAAUACUUCCUCACUCGGCUACUGCAAGCAUCCCAGCAGCCACCAACCCCCAUAAAGCAUCACCUAGCUCCAAGCUUUUCCUUCCUUCCAAGCUUUAAACACCAUAGCCUUUAAACCUCAAGCUUUUCCUUCCAUCCUCCUUCUCUUGAAACUCUUAAAUCCCCAUAGCCAUAGCCACACACAACAAAUUAUCAACACCAAACUCAAACAUAUCCAACACCAAGCCAAGCACAUGCAUUCUCAUUUGCUAAACUUGUGGGUCUUUAGCUCCUACACUCCAAGCUCUCAUGCUAAGCUCACAUAAUCUCAUACCAACAUCAGCAAGUCAUCUUCAACUCUUCGUCGAGCUGCCGAAAACAUCAACACAAAACAUGCAGCCGUUGGAAGAAGAACAAAGUACUCUCCCGGGACUUGCUUUUCCCUUGGGACACUUUGGGCCUAGUUCUCGCUAACUCAGAUAAAGGAACAACGAAGUCUUCAUUCAUCACUCUAUGGCGACCCAAGAAUCAACAAAGCCCGGAUGAGCCUUCGAACGAAAGUGACCACAUGCAAAGCUCAAGCUUCAAUAGCCAAGCCCAAGCUUUUGGUUCCUAAAAACAUGCUUACGACAGCUGCAACAAACAAUACCUAAGUCACCAUAAGUGAUAUGCCCCAGCGUCUCAAGCACUUUCUAUGCCCUGACAAUUCUAAUGAUCAAGUUUUAGAGUCAAACCAAAAGGCCAUUGGGAUGUCUCAAUUGCCACAAUUCCAUAAUCAAUCAUCAUCAAGCCUCAAGCCUUAUUCAAGAAAUCCAAGCACUAUUCUUUACUCAAGAAGGAAAACAUCUCAGUUCGUGGCAAAUAGAAGGAAAAUACUACGAAGGUACCGGAAGAACCUAAACACUGUCAAGAUGAAGUUUCCUUUACCAAGCAAUCAAAAUUUUUGAAGUGAUGUCAAGCUAUCAAGAAAAAGAGUAAAGUCACUAUGCAACACAACAACCAAAAUAUGCUUGUAGUAACCAAGAUUCAAGCCAAGCAAAAUGUGGAAGAUAAUGAUGCGUUGUAUGAAAUGCUCCUGGAAGAUAACACAAGCCCUAUAGUCAUGCUGCCGGAAGAGUGAACCAUCAUGCCACUAAAUUUGAAAGAGGAGCCCCAUAUCUGAGUACUGGAAGGCAGCGCAGUGGACUCCAAAACUAAGAUCUAGUCCAAGUGACUUAAGGCCUCCAUAUUGCAAUGCUUAUUUGCCAACACCUAUACCGCUUUCAAGCUACUGCAGACACUAUCAUGCUCAAAUCCUUAAGCAUCUCCCAUUGUAUUUUCAUCUUCUAAUCUACCAAAGCCCUCAUGAUUGACCAAGCUAUAUCUUGAUUCAACUCCACCCACUUGCUCUUUACAGCAGCCCAGGCCCAUCUGUAGCUGCCGGAACAAAAAAGCCCCAACGUAAAUGACAAAACCGAAACACUAAAGCACAUCCACCAUGCUAAAUAGCCCAAAAGCUAUAUUAAACCACGACACUUUAGCCAAUACCAAGCGUACAAGCCAAUGCCCAGCAUCCAAGCAUACAAGCCAAAGCUUAGCGUACAAGCCAAUACUAAGCAUACAUGCCAAUGCCAAGCAUACACACCAAUGCCAAGCAUCCAAGCCAAUACCAAGCGUACAAGACAAAGCCAAGCAUACAAGUCAAUACCAAGCAUACAUGCCAAUGCUACGCGUAUACGCCAAUGCCAAGCAUCUAAGCCAAUACCAAGCAUACAAGCCAAAGCCAAGCGUACAAGCCAAUACCAAGCAUAUAUGAGCCCAAGAUCAAGCGUACAUGCCAAUGCCAAGCAUCCAAAUCAAAUACUAAGAAUACAUGUCAACAUCAAGCAUACAUGCCAACACCAAAUAUACACGUAAAAACCAAGGAAGCAAGCACGGAUGUUUCAUGCAUAUUGAAGAACCAGCCAUGUCAUGCCACUGCCAAUUAUUUUGGGCUGAAAUAGAUUAUUGGGCCCAUCUCACUGCCACUUCAUAGCCCCAAUAAUCAAGGGGGCUAAUGUUGAGGCCCAAAAAAGUUACGGGAAGCUCAAAGACAUUCAAAGCCUAAUAUAACCUAUAAUGUCACUCAUGCGUUAAUCCAAGCUGUAAUUUGGAUUUAAUUCAUUAAAUAAAUAUAGAAAUAGUGUACAUGCCAUACCAAAAUAAUAAUACAUUUUUUCCAUGCCAAUCACCUAUCAAGCUCACAUGAACCCAAGUCAUGUGGUUUAUGGGGCUUGCAAGAGGGAUUGUGGUGUGGAAGGUUACGGAGGUCCACAAGGUUCAUGGAAGCUCUUGAAUAAUGGAGACUUUGGGCUAGCUACUUGGGAGCACCAAAGUCCAAGCCCAUUACUUAGAGUUCUCUAAUGUGGGUGAGCAAAUGAGACAUUUUUUAAGCACUUCCUUUUAUCCAUAGGAAAUAGUCAUUUUCCAAAUAUCUAGCUUUACCCGUUGGAAACAAGCCUUUUCCAGCACUUCCUAUUACCCACUGGAAAUAAGCAGUUUCUAUUACUUCCUUUUACCAAUAGGAAAUAAUCUGUUUAUGGUACUAGCUUUACCUGCUGGAAAAUAGUAUGCCCUAGUGCUCCCUUUUAACCAUUAGAAAUAGGUUGGUUCCAGUACCUCCCUUUACCUAUUGGAAAUAAAGGAAAACCCUCACUCUCUAUAAAUUGGCACUCAUGGCUCAAGUAAAAGGCACCAAUUUUUCUUCAGCCAACACUCCCUAACUCAGCUGCUGCAAGCAUCCCAGCAGCCACCAACCCCCAUAAAGCAUCACCUAGCUCCAAGCUUUUCCUUCCUUCCAAGCUUUAAACACCAUAGCCUUCAAACCUCAAGCUUUUCCUUCCAUCAUCUUUCUCUUGAAACUCUUAAAUCCCCAUAGCCAUAGCCACACACAACAAAUUAUCAACACCAAACUCAAACAUAUCCAACACCAAGCCAAGCACAUGCAUUCUCAUUUGCUAAACUUGUGGGUCUUUAGCUCCCACACUCCAAGCUCUCAUGCCAAGCUCAUAUAAUCUCAUACCAACAUCAGCAAGUCAUCUUCAACUCUUCGUCGAGCUGCCGAAAACAUCAACGCAAAACACGCAGCCGAUGGAAGAAGAACAAAGUACUCUCCCGAGACUUGCUUCUCCCUCGGGAUACUUUGGGCCUAGUUCUCGCUAACUCAGACAAAGGGGCAACGAAGUCUUCAUUCAUCACUCUAUGGCGAUCCAAGAAUCAACAAAGCCCGGAUGAGCCUUCGGACGAAAAAGACCCCAACAGAUAUAAAAAUACCAUUUUUCCCCUGCAGUUAACAGAAAAGUUAACAGCCGGACCAUUUGUCCUAACGAAACUGAAGUUGAAGAACUACGGGAACCAUUUUGAAAAUUGAGGUACUCAAAUACAAAUCGGGUCUAAGUUCAGGGAUUAAUAAAACAAUUAACCCCUGAGUUUAUAAUGCUCGAGAGUAUAUAGGAAGAGGACACUCCAACUGGCAGCUAUGGAGGAGGCCAAGACUAGUAGUGUCUAUUCUGUGAAAGCUAACUUUGCUUUCUUAUUAUCCACAACUUAGAUAUAUCAAUGGCUUCUUGCAAGAACCUCAAUUCUUUAUGAACUUUCUGCCCUAAAAUGCUUUAUCUAAUAGCUCAGACAAUGGUGAAAGAAAAAAAAUUGUUGUUGGAAUCUUAGCAUAAUAAUAUUUUCCAGCCAAAAUCAGUUGUUAGAUUCUCCAACAGCACAAUCUCUUUUCGCAAUCACAUACUAGUCAAUCCUACAGAGCAUAAGAUCCUACUUUGAGGGGUGGAAAGGAAUGAAUUCAACUCACCACUAUUAUGACCAAGGCAAUAAUUUUCAUUUCCAUCACAUGAUUCUAGGUGACCCACAACUCCAUACCACCAACCUGCAAUAUAUACAGAAAAUCCUAUCAAGCAAUGGACAAUGGGAAAUUAAUUAAUUUCACCUUUUAUUUAAGUUUCUGCAUAUUAAACGAAUCUACUUUCAUUAUAUAUUUAAGGGAAAUGUAAGCCUUUUUUUUCGUUCUUUACCCUUUUUUUUCCUCACCUUAAUGGGGCUUGAGGAUGUUUGAAUUGUUCGCUAGAACUACUUUCAUUAUCUAUUUGAGGCAUACUUCAUGAACCACAUGGAUUCUAGGAAGUGAUAUAGACCUUUGUUUCUUUCAUUUGAGCCCUUCUAGCCAACCCGUAUCACUUUUAUCCCUUGUUAAUCACCUUGUGCCUUUUAUGUAAGCCUUUUUUUUCGUUCUUUACCCUUUUUUCCUCACCUUAAUCUAUCAUAUGUUACCCUUCUAAGGAGUUUUGUACAGUAUUUUCGUUGUUAAGGGAGAAUUGCACAACAAUCAUGUGGAAAGUAAAGGAUACUAUUUCCAAAAAAAAAACCUAAUUUCAAACCCUUUUCAACUCGAGUUAUUGAGCCCUAUGAGUGUUUUACAUUUAAUUUCGUAAAGCUAUGUAGCUUGGGAGUCAUUGGCCUAACACUCGCUGCAUGGGUUGAUUAGAAAGCUAAUGAAGAGUUAGAAAAAAAAAUUGUGAAAAAUAAAUAAAUUUCAAGACAGUAUCAAUAUGAAGUUGCGUGCUCAAAGUGCAAGAUGUUAUAAUUUUCAUGGAAAGCUCUAUGAAUUCCUUAGAAUUUGUUCAUCCAUAUCUUUUUCUUGUUUCACCCGUCACUCUAAGCCCCAUUACAACCUUAUUUGAAGACUAUUCUGCUAUUUUCUCAAGGCGUGCAAUAUAUGACUGGAAAGAUAAGAUAAAGACCUACAAUUUACAUAUUUUUUCAGAAUUUUCUCGGAGGAGGAAUGAUUCCAAACGUGGGUGCAAAGUAACUAACGUGUUAUCCUAGUCCAAGUAGGAAGAUGAGUCAAUUACUUACCCAUUUUGGAUUUAAGUUUUAAUUAGCUGUUUCUUUAUUUUUGGGCUGUUGUAAAAGGCCAGCUAAGGUAGGAAUAGACGUGUGGCAUUUUAUUUAAGCAUGAGACAACUCCUUUGGGAAGACGCAAAGACUAGGAGAAAUUGGAGACGCCGGAAGAGUACCACAAUUGGCUAAGUUUUAUUGUUUCUUCCUUAUGUUUUUGUUUAUGUCAAAUUCUAUGAUUAUGUGUAACUAAUUUUAUUUUGCUAGGGCAUGAUGUAUGCCUAGUAUGAUAAUCUAGUUUUCUUAUUUUACCUAUCUAUUGAUUGCAGUUUGAUGUUAGAUUCUUAAUCACUGUGCUUAGUACCUUAGUUGAUUACCUUGAUGCUUGAUCACCAUCUAGACUUUUAAUUGAGUUAAUCGGAUGCGAAUUAGAGUAAAUACCAUACUUAAUUUGAGGUUUGCUUCUUGUGAUUAGAAUUUGUAAUUUGUCUAAAGUAAAUACCAUACUCCUAGAAUUUACAUGCUUGUUGGAGGUUUUCACUGAUUUCAAUAUUUUCCCGACAUGUGAUGCCAACAACAUAGAUGUUUCAAUGUUUCACUAUGGAAGCAAUCACGUAAGGAUUAACAUGGCAGGACAUCAGACAUGAGAAACUAAGAAGAGAGAGAGAGAGAGAGAGAGAGACUUGCCAUUCAAGCAAGAGAAGGCCAUAACACUAUAUAGCAAUAGCACCGUAAAAUAAGAUGCAAAGAAUGAGGGGGUCAUGUUUUCAAGUACCAAAACACGCAAGGGCAUUUUGGUAAAGUACAUCUGAAAAUAAAUCAAGGCAAGCAAAGCCGUAGAUAUCCUCUUCCUGCUACACAUAGUAUUAGCCUACGUAAGGUCAUUACGGCGCCGUUUCCCUUUUUAAUUGGCGUAGUUCAACUCAUCAUCCACCCAAGUUCAUUUCGUUCAAAGCUAUAAAUAACCCCUCAAACCAUUCAACUUUCCCACCACCACUCCUCACUCCUUCAACUCAUUAACCUCUCUCUCUCUCUCUCUCUCUCUCUCUCUCUCUCUCAUCCGCAAAUGGCGAACCGUAGAAGCCUCUUUUCUCUCUCACUUAUCUUUGUGUUCAUGAUCAACUCAGCCAUAGCCACUCCAGUCACAUACAAUGUGGCCAGUUUAGGAGCCAAAGCAGAUGGCAAGACUGACUCCACAAAAGCCUUCCUCUCUGCAUGGGCUAAAGCUUGUGCCUCGAUGAAUCCCGGUGUCAUUUAUGUGCCGGCAGGAACGUUCUUU
This 34864-nucleotide long non-coding RNA is filed under the name Prunus persica (peach). RNAcentral's name for it is "long non-coding RNA (PPER_LNC004544)". Lineage: Eukaryota; Viridiplantae; Streptophyta; Magnoliopsida; Rosales; Rosaceae. The record is from RNAcentral.